This is a transfer RNA of Bacillus sp. MRMR6, 71 nucleotides long. It matches the Rfam family "tRNA". Rfam says of the family: Transfer RNA (tRNA) molecules are approximately 80 nucleotides in length. Their secondary structure includes four short double-helical elements and three loops (D, anti-codon, and T loops). The record is from Rfam. NCBI's taxonomy places the organism in Bacteria, Bacillati, Bacillota, Bacilli, Caryophanales, Bacillaceae.
GCGGGUGUAGUUUAGUGGUAAAACCUCAGCCUUCCAAGCUGAUGAUGUGAGUUCGAUUCUCAUCACCCGCU